UACGAAGGUGGCAAGCGUUACUCGGAAUUACUAGGCGUAAAGGGCAGGUAGGUGGUUCGGUAAGUCUGUUGUGUAAGCUCCUGGCUUAACUGGGAGAGGUCAACGGAAACUACCGGACUUGAGUAUAGGAGAGGUUACUGGAAUUCCCGGUGUAGCGGUGAAAUGCGCAGAGAUCGGGAGGAACACCAGUGGCGAAGGCGGCGAUCUGGGAAGAUACUGACGCUGAGGUGCGAAAGCGUGGGGAGCAAACAGG
RNAcentral lists this ribosomal RNA (253 nucleotides) under uncultured bacterium. RNAcentral describes it as "partial 16S ribosomal RNA". It matches the Rfam family "Bacterial small subunit ribosomal RNA", at positions 524 to 776 of the family's 1533-position model. The record is from RNAcentral.